UGGGUUUGUGCUUGGGAUGGUUUGGGUAUGUAAAGAAACAGGAUGUGGGGUUGUGCUUGUGAGGGUUUGAGUAUGUAAAGGAACAGAGAGUUUGUGCUUGUG
This is a long non-coding RNA of Haliotis rubra (blacklip abalone), 102 nucleotides long. RefSeq lists it as uncharacterized. The record is from RefSeq and is a predicted model, not a curated record. The transcript has 3 exons. NCBI's taxonomy places the organism in Eukaryota, Metazoa, Mollusca, Gastropoda, Lepetellida, Haliotidae.